GUUGGUGAACCAGCGGAGGGAUCAUUACAGAGUUAUCUAACUCCCAAACCCAUGUGAACUUACCACUGUUGCCUCGGCAGAUGUUGCUGGGCGAACCUACCCUGUAGCCAGCUACCCUGUAGCGACCUACCCGGGAACGGCUUACCCUGUAGCGCCUGCCGGUGGACUACUAAACUCUUGUUAUUUUUAAGUAAUCUGAGCGUCUUAUUUUAAUAAGUCAAAACUUUCAACAACGGAUCUCUUGGUUCUG
This 250-nucleotide unclassified non-coding RNA is filed under the name rhizosphere metagenome. RNAcentral's name for it is "partial ribosomal RNA internal transcribed spacer region". The record is from RNAcentral.